CCGAACACGGAAGUUAAGCUCUUUAGCGCCGAUGGUAGUUGGGGGUUUCCCCCUGUGAGAGUAGGACGUUGCUAGGC
Molecule: ribosomal RNA, 77 nt
Filed under: Viridibacillus arvi
Lineage: Bacteria; Bacillati; Bacillota; Bacilli; Caryophanales; Caryophanaceae
Also listed under: 2 other names
Source: RNAcentral